Lonchura striata (white-rumped munia) is the source of this 794-nucleotide non-coding RNA. The record is from RefSeq and is a predicted model, not a curated record. NCBI's taxonomy places the organism in Eukaryota, Metazoa, Chordata, Aves, Passeriformes, Estrildidae.
UCAGCAUUCAAUAUUUAAUGAUGCAUUUCAAUAAAAAAUACCUAAGAUAUUAGUCAAUCAGUCCUGAAAAAUAAUAAAAAUAUCAUUUCCAUUUAAUGACACAUGGCAAUAUUCCCAAUGAUUGAUUCAGAAGAAGAGUGACCAGAGCUGCACAUGGUAUUAUAGAGUAUAGGACUGCCAGCAUUACCAUGGAAACCCCCAAAAAUAAAGACAUUCCCAGCCUUAUGAGAGUACACCUGCAAGAGCAAGAACUGCCUAUCAAAAGUGACUUCUUCAUUAUGGGUGUCACCUAAGGACAUUUUGUGCAGAUCGUGGGGUCAGGAAUAGCACUUCAGAUUGAAGAAAUUGUUAGAACCGACACAUUCCAAUCUGCUCAGAAAGGACCCAUGUUUGUUUCAGGAGUGAUUUUCCUUGGACAUCAGUAAUUAAUGGAAACUCCAGAUCACUUCAGUGAAACGCAGUCUCACAUGAAAGAACCUGCAAAAUCUCAGAGAUCACAGUCUUAAAAGGACCCAAACCCAGUGAGCAACUGCAUCUUCCAUAAGUGAAACCUGUCCAUCUUCUAAAAUCACUCGUGGGGAGGAGAUGUCCACAGUAACAGUAAACUACUGUAACAGCAACCCAGGAAAAAUUAUGGCUAAGGUAAUACACCUUUGGGAAAAGCUUUUAAAAAGUACUUUGACUCUUUUUUUAACAUUUCUAUCAUAUAGAUUUACUAGAUUUUAGAAGUCUGUUUUACUCAAGCUUCUUCCUGAUCACCACUGUACAUCUGCAAAGUAUAUUUAUCAUCCAGG